GAAUCAACCAAGCACCUUCAAUAACCCGACCUGAAAUUUAGUCUAAGAGCGCACAAAACUCAUCAAGGUUUUGAUCGAAAUCAUACCUAAAAGAAACGGAUAAACUAACGUUAAACUUAACUUAACAACACUUACCUUCACCUAAUUCAACACUUGAUGGAACGAAAAAUGGGAGAACAACCAAAACUUCUAAAAGAUAGCAAUUGUCAAUGAUGUAAAAAUAAAAAAGAAUAAAAAUUGGAGAACCAAACAGAGCAAAAAUAAGAAACAAAG
This 273-nucleotide long non-coding RNA is filed under the name Gossypium raimondii (Peruvian cotton). Its description in RNAcentral is "long non-coding RNA (GRAI_LNC002949)". The record is from RNAcentral. Lineage: Eukaryota; Viridiplantae; Streptophyta; Magnoliopsida; Malvales; Malvaceae.